Non-coding RNA from Pelobates cultripes (western spadefoot toad), 154 nucleotides. The record is from the annotation of a GenBank genome assembly. NCBI's taxonomy places the organism in Eukaryota, Metazoa, Chordata, Amphibia, Anura, Pelobatidae.
GUCUUGAGCAAAAAAAGUGAUUUAUUAAAUCAUGUGCAAGACAGACAACCGACGUUUCGACCCCUGCGGGUCUUGAAAAAGGCCUGCAGGGGUCGAAACGUCAGUUGUCUUUAUCUUGCACAUGAUUUAAUAAAUCACUUUUUUUGCUCAAGAC